UACGUAGGGGGCUAGCGUUGUCCGGAAUCAUUGGGCGUAAAGAGCGUGUAGGCGGUCCGGUAAGUCCGCUGUGAAAGUCGGGGGGCUCAACCCUCGAAUGCCGGUGGAUACUGUCGGGCUAGAGUGCGGAAGAGGCGAGUGGGAAUUCCUGGUGCUAGCGGUGAAAUGCGCAGAUAUCCAGGAGGAACACCGGUGGCGAAGGCGGAUCUCUGGGCCUGUCCUGACGGCUGAGGCGCGAAAGCCAGGGGAGCGAACGGG
Molecule: ribosomal RNA, 258 nt
Filed under: uncultured bacterium
Lineage: Bacteria
Description: partial 16S ribosomal RNA
Rfam family: Bacterial small subunit ribosomal RNA
Source: RNAcentral